RNAcentral lists this ribosomal RNA (1355 nucleotides) under uncultured bacterium. RNAcentral's name for it is "partial 16S ribosomal RNA". It matches the Rfam family "Bacterial small subunit ribosomal RNA". The record is from RNAcentral.
AGAGUUUGAUCCUGGCUCAGGAUAAACGCUAGCGGCGCGCCUAAUGCAUGCAAGUCGAGCGAUGAUCCUUCGGGGUCAUAGCGGCAGACGGGUGAGUAACACGUGGGUGACCUGCCCCAAAGCCGGUGGAUAACGACUGGAAACGGUUGCUAAUACCCGAUGUGCUCGGUAAUUCGUUUUACCGAGUAAAGUUCCGGCGCUUUGGGAGGGGCCCGCGGCCCAUCAGCUAGUUGGUGAGGUAAUGGCCCACCAAGGCAUUGACGGGUAGGGGGCGUGAGAGCGCGGCCCCCCACACUGGCACUGAGACACGGGCCAGACUCCUACGGGAGGCAGCAGCAGGGAAUUUUGCGCAAUGGGCGAAAGCCUGACGCAGCGACGCCGCGUGGGCGAUGAAGGCCUUCGGGUUGUAAAGCCCUUUUCUGGGGGAAGAGAGAGGACGGUACCUCAGGAAUAAGCGUCGGCUAACUACGUGCCAGCAGCCGCGGUAAUGCGUGGGGCGCGUGCGUUUUCCGGCUUCUCUGGGCGUAGCGCGCCUGCGGGCGGUUUCGUGUGUUGGGUGUGUUCGCCCCGGGCUUGGCCUGGGGGGGCCUUUCUGUCCUGCGGCGCUUGUGGGCGGGGGGGGGCCGCGGUUUUCCCGGUGUCGCGGUGUUGUGCGCUGAUAUCGGGGGGCUCCCCGGUGGCGGGGGCGGCUUCCUGGCCCGUUCCUGGCGCUCGGGGGCGGCGGCUACCCGAGAAAACCCUUUUUCCCCCUCUUUUCUACCUCCCCGAGCCCUCUUAUGGGUUGUGGGUGUGGGGGUGAAUAGCCUCUGUGCCGAAGCUAACGCGUUAAGCAUCCCGCCUGGGGACUACGGCCGCAAGGUUAAAACUCAAACGAAUUGACGGGGCCCCGCACAAGCAGCGGAGCGUGUGGUUUAAUUCGAUGUUACACGAAGAACCUUACCUAGGUUUGACAUGCACGUGGUAGGGAUCCGAAAGGUGACCGACCCUUCGGGGAGCGCGCAAAGGUGCUGCAUGGCUGUCGUCAGCUCGUGCCGUGAGGUGUCGGGUUAAGUCCCGUAACGAGCGCAACCCUUACCCUUAGUUGCAUGUUUCUUUGGGGGCUGCCNGCGNCGNGCUGGNGGGGGGCGGGGGUGGCGUCNNGUCNGCCUGGCCCUUAUGACGAGGGAUACACACACGAUGCAGUGGCCGGUACAAUGGGCAGCCAAUCCGUGAGGAGGAGCGAAUCCCAUCAAAGCCGGUCUCAGUUCGGAUUGCAGGCUGCAACCCGCCUGCAUGAAGCCGGAGUUGCUAGUAACCGCGCGUCAGCUAUAGUGCGGUGAAUAAGUUCCCGGGGCUUGCACACACCGCCCGUCAAG